GACGAACGCUGGCGGCGUGCUUAACACAUGCAAGUCGAACGGAAAGGCCCUGCUGUUUUGGCGUUCUCGAGUGGCGAACGAGUGAGUAACACGUGAGUAACCUGCCCUUGACUUUGGGAUAACUUCAGGAAACUGGGGCUAAUACCUGAUAUGAGCUCCUUCUGCAUGGUAGGGGGUGGAAAGGUUCGGCGGUUGGGGAUGGACUCUCGGCUUAUGAGCUUGUUGGUGGGGUAGUGGCUUACCAAGGCUUUGGCGGGUAGCCGGCCUGAGAGGGUGACCGGCCACAUUGGGACUGAGAUACGGUCCAGAAGGCUACGGGAGGCAGCAGUGGGGAAUAUUGCACAAUGGGCGGAAGCCUGAUGCAGCAACGCCGCGUGCGGGAUGACGGCCUUCGGGUUGUAAACCGCUUUCGCCUGUGACGAAGCGUGAGUGACGGUAAUGGGUAAAGAAGCACCGGCUAACUACGUG
RNAcentral lists this ribosomal RNA (468 nucleotides) under uncultured bacterium. RNAcentral describes it as "partial 16S ribosomal RNA". It matches the Rfam family "Bacterial small subunit ribosomal RNA", at positions 28 to 507 of the family's 1533-position model. The record is from RNAcentral.